UACGUAGGGUGCGAGCGUUGUCUGGAAUUAUUGGGCGUAAAGAGCUUGUAGGCGGUUUGUCGCGUCUGCCGUGAAAGCCCAGGGCUUAACCCUGGGUCUGCGGUGGGUACGGGCAGACUAGAGUGUGGUAGGGGAGACUGGAAUUCCUGGUGUAGCGGUGAAAUGCGCAGAUAUCAGGAGGAACACCGAUGGCGAAGGCAGGUCUCUGGGCCACUACUGACGCUGAGAAGCGAAAGCAUGGGGAGCAAACAGG
Molecule: ribosomal RNA, 253 nt
Filed under: uncultured bacterium
Lineage: Bacteria
Description: partial 16S ribosomal RNA
Rfam family: Bacterial small subunit ribosomal RNA
Source: RNAcentral